AGGUGGGGGAGGUCCCCCCGGGUGAGAGCUGUGCCCUGUCCUCCGCCUGUUUAAGCCCAGUCCUGGGACCCUGGCAGUGCCGUGGACCGUGCAGGGCACCUCUGCUGCAGACCCGUCAGGCCGUCUUUGGAGAACUGCUCUCCUGGGUGG
Non-coding RNA from Vicugna pacos (alpaca), 150 nucleotides. NCBI's taxonomy places the organism in Eukaryota, Metazoa, Chordata, Mammalia, Artiodactyla, Camelidae. The record is from RefSeq and is a predicted model, not a curated record.